AAGGCUAACUAUUUACUUAAUGUUUGUAUUAGGACUUCUGUGGAGGUCAGUUUAAAGUGACCUUACUGAGUUUUCUUACAGAAUAGGACAAAAAUGAAUUUAAGUUGUUCAAGUUUCAUUUGAAGGCACCAGUAGCCAAACAAAUGAAUUAGCUAGGCUAGGCUGCUAGCUAGUGACAACUAGCAACCGUUGCUAAUAACGGUUACCAAGGCGGUUACCAAGGCGACCAACAAGGUCAUCUGUAGCCACAGUAGAGCUAAAUAGCCUAAUGUCAGCUAGGAGGAAAGCUAACUAUUUACUUAUUUUUUGUAUUAGGACUACUGUGGAGGUCAGUUUAAAGUGACCUUACUGAGUUUUCUUACAGAAUAGGACAAAAAAAAUGGAUUUAAAGAACUUUUCUGGAGGUCUCUCCUGCCGCUCUCGAUCAUGGCGGCCGCCAGCCUCGACGCUGCUCCUGGUCCUGCGUUCUUCUGUCCCCGGGCCCAUUGGAACAGCAUGUCCAGCACCAAGGCUCCUAGGUUGUCCCUGGACGCGUCACUCUGGGGUUUCUGAGCAUGAAGAGCAGUGGGGGGGUGGGGGGGGACAGAUGAGCAUCAGUGUGUGUGUGUAAUCUCCUGCAGUGUCCCAGAUGGCUUAGUGAUGGCUGACAGUGCAGAUUAAAACAAUCAAAAUUCUCCACCA
Molecule: long non-coding RNA, 681 nt
Organism: Sebastes umbrosus (honeycomb rockfish)
Lineage: Eukaryota; Metazoa; Chordata; Actinopteri; Perciformes; Sebastidae
Exons: 3
Source: RefSeq, a predicted model, not a curated record